AAUCAACGCUGGCGGCGUGCCUAACACAUGCAAGUCGAACGAGAAAGGGAUCCUUCGGGAACCUGAGUAAAGUGGCGAACGGGUGAGUAACACGUGGGUGACCUGCCCUCUGGAGGGGGAUAACCCGAGGAAACUCGGGCUAAGACCGCAUAAGCCUUCGAGGUCAAAUUCAAAGGGAAAAGGAUUUAGCUUUCGAGCUAGAUCCUACCGGAGGAGGGGCCCGCGUCCCAUUAGCUAGUUGGUGGGGUAAAAGCCUACCAAGGCUACGAUGGGUAGCCGGUCUGAGAGGACGGACGGCCACACUGGAACUGAGACACGGUCCAGACUCCUACGGGAGGCAGCAGUGGGGAAUUUUGGGCAAUGGGCGAAAGCCUGACCCAGCAACGCCGCGUGGAGGAUGAAGGCCCUCGGGUCGUAAACUCCUGUCCUAGGGGAAGAAAAAAAUGACGGUACCCUUGGAGGAAGCCCCGGCUAACUCCGUGCCAGCAGCCGCGGUAAGACGGGGGGGCGAGCGUUGUUCGGAAUUACUGGGCGUAAAGGGCGCGCAGGCGGCUUGGGAAGUCUUGGGUGAAAGCCCCCAGCUCAACUGGGGAAUGGCCUGAGAAACCACUA
This 612-nucleotide ribosomal RNA is filed under the name uncultured bacterium. Its description in RNAcentral is "bacterial SSU rRNA". It matches the Rfam family "Bacterial small subunit ribosomal RNA", at positions 28 to 638 of the family's 1533-position model. The record is from RNAcentral.